UACGUAGGGGCCUAGCGUUGUCCGGAUUUACUGGGCGUAAAGAGCGCGCAGGCGGUCGUACAAGUCGCGUGUGAAAGCCCCCGGCUCAACUGGGGAGGGUCACGCGAUACUGUUCGACUCGAAGGCAGGAGAGGGUAGUGGAAUUCCCGGUGUAGUGGUGAAAUGCGUAGAUAUCAGGAAGAACACCCGUGGCUAAGGCGGCUCUCUAGUACGGUACUGACGCUGAGACGCGAAAGCGUGGGGAGCGAACAGG
RNAcentral lists this ribosomal RNA (253 nucleotides) under uncultured bacterium. RNAcentral describes it as "partial 16S ribosomal RNA". It matches the Rfam family "Bacterial small subunit ribosomal RNA", at positions 524 to 776 of the family's 1533-position model. The record is from RNAcentral.